AUGGCGUCGGCGGCCGGUGCUGGUGGGGCAAAUGCCGGCCUCGCCGACCCGCUGCUGGCGAGCGCCAAGAAGCCGGUCGGCGCCAAGGGCAAGCACUGGGUGGCCGCCGACAAGGACCAGCGGCGGGCCGCCAAGGAGAGCGGCGGCGAGGACGGCAGGCCGCUGCUGUUCCGGACGUACAAGGUCAAAGGCACCCUCCUGCACCCCUACAGGGCGCUGAUCUUCAUUCGCUUAAUUGCCGUCCUCCUAUUCUUCGUAUGGCGCAUCAAACAUAACAAAUCUGAUAUCAUGUGGUUUUGGACAUUGUCAGUUGUCGGGGACGUAUGGUUCGGGUUCUCGUGGCUGCUCAACCAACUCCCAAAGUUUAAUCCCGUCAAAACCAUACCUGAUAUGGUCGCCCUUAAGCGACAAUAUGAUCUCCCAGAUGGGACAUCUACACUUCCUGGCAUAGAUGUCUUUGUCACCACUGCUGACCCAAUCGAUGAGCCGAUACUAUACACCAUGAAUUGUGUUCUCUCUAUCCUUGCUUCUGACUAUCCUGUUGAUAGGUGUGCCUGCUAUCUCUCAGAUGAUAGUGGCGCAUUGAUCCAAUACGAGGCCUUGGUUGAGACCGCAAAGUUUGCUACUUUGUGGGUCCCAUUUUGUCGGAAGCAUUGCAUCGAGCCAAGAGCCCCAGAAAGCUACUUUGAACUAGAGGCACCGUUGUACACUGGAAGUGCACCAGAGGAUUUCAAGAAUGAUCAUAGCAGUGUACACAGAGAGUAUGAUGAGUUCAAAGAGCACUUAGACUCAAUAUCUAGUGCUAUUUCCAAGCGUUCCGAUGCUUACAACAGCAUGAAGACUGAGGAAGGAGAUGCAAAGGCCACUUGGAUGGCAAAUGGGACACAAUGGCCAGGAUCAUGGAUUGACACAACGGAAAUCCAUAGGAAAGGACAUCAUGCCGGAAUUGUUAAGGUUGUGUUGGGCCAUUCGAUCCGUGGGCAUAAUCUUGGUUCACAGGCAAGCACCAACAACCUCAACUUCGCCAGCACUGAUGUGCGCCUCCCGAUGCUUGUAUAUAUCUCUCGUGGAAAGAACCCAAGCUAUGACCACAACAAGAAAGCCGGUGCCUUGAAUGCGCAAUUGCGUGCCUCUGCACUACUCUCCAACGCGCAAUUCAUCAUCAACUUUGACUGCGACCACUACAUCAACAACUCUCAAGCCCUACGUGCAGCUAUGUGCUUCAUGCUAGAUCAACGGCAAGGUGAUAGCACUGCCUUCGUUCAAUUCCCUCAACGCUUCGACAACGUUGAUCCAUCAGACCGGUAUGGCAACCACAACCGUGUCUUCUUCGAUGGCACAAUGCUCGCCCUCAAUGGCCUCCAAGGUCCAUCUUACCUUGGCACUGGUUGCAUGUUCCGCCGCAUAGCCCUUUAUGGCAUUGACCCACCUGAGUGGAGACAUGACAACAUCGUAGUUGAUGAUAAAAGGUUUGGUAGCUCCAUACCCUUCCUAGAAUCCGUAUCAAAAGCCAUAAACCAAGAAAGAUCUACCAUACCUCCACCCAUUAGUGAAACAUUGGUGGCUGAGAUGGAAAGGGUUGUGUCAGCUUCACACGAUAAAGCCACUGGGUGGGGCAAGGGUGUUGGGUACAUAUAUGACAUAGCCACAGAGGAUAUAGUGACUGGUUUCCGCAUCCACGGUCAAGGUUGGCGUUCCAUGUAUUGUACAAUGGAGCGUGAUGCCUUCUGUGGCAUUGCACCAAUCAACCUAACCGAGCGCCUCCACCAAAUUGUGCGUUGGUCAGGUGGAUCUUUAGAGAUGUUCUUCUCACUAAAUAACCCACUCAUAGGUGGUCGUCGUAUCCAAGCCCUUCAGCGUGUCUCCUACCUCAACAUGACAGUCUACCCAGUCACAUCACUCUUUAUCCUACUCUAUGCUCUCAGCCCGGUGAUGUGGCUUAUCCCUGAUGAAGUAUACAUUCAGAGGCCAUUCACCAAAUAUGUUGUGUUCCUUCUCGUGAUCAUUCUGAUGAUCCAUGUUAUUGGGUGGCUCGAGAUAAAAUGGGCGGGGGUCACAUGGUUGGAUUACUGGAGGAACGAACAGUUCUUCAUGAUCGGGUCUACGAGUGCAUACCCAGCAGCCGUGCUUCACAUGGUGGUGAAUCUCCUUACAAAGAAGGGUAUUCACUUCAGAGUUACUUCGAAGCAAACAGCGGCAGACACCAAUGACAAGUUCGCCGACUUGUAUGACAUGCGAUGGGUGCCAAUGUUAAUACCUACAACAGUAGUGCUGAUUGCCAAUGUUGGUGCAAUUGGUGUAGCCAUGGGUAAAACGAUAGUGUACAUGGGAGCAUGGACAAUUGCACAGAAGACACAUGCUGCAUUGGGUCUGCUCUUCAAUGUGUGGAUCAUGGUGCUGCUCUAUCCGUUUGCAUUGGCGAUCAUGGGACGGUGGGCAAAGAGGCCAGUCAUCCUGCUGGUCUUGUUGCCGGUUGCCUUCACAAUAGUUUGCCUUGUAUAUGUUGCUGUUCAUAUCUUACUUCUUAGUUAUCUUACAUUUUAG
RNAcentral lists this ribosomal RNA (2544 nucleotides) under Triticum aestivum (bread wheat). Its description in RNAcentral is "partial small subunit ribosomal RNA". Lineage: Eukaryota; Viridiplantae; Streptophyta; Magnoliopsida; Poales; Poaceae. The record is from RNAcentral.